Molecule: ribosomal RNA, 1326 nt
Filed under: metagenome
Description: bacterial SSU rRNA
Rfam family: Bacterial small subunit ribosomal RNA
Source: RNAcentral
AUUGGAAACGAUCGUUAAUACCGCAUAACAUAAUUGAACCGCAUGAUUUGAUUAUCAAAGAUUUAUCGCUGAAAGAUGAGCUCGCGUCUGAUUAGCUAGUUGGUAAGGUAACGGCUUACCAAGGCGACGAUCAGUAGCCGGACUGAGAGGUUGAUCGGCCACAUUGGGACUGAGACACGGCCCAGACUCCUACGGGAGGCAGCAGUGGGGAAUAUUGCACAAUGGAGGAAACUCUGAUGCAGCGAUGCCGCGUGAGGGAAGAAGGUUUUAGGAUUGUAAACCUCUGUCUUCAGGGACGAAAAAAGACGGUACCUGAGGAGGAAGCUCCGGCUAACUACGUGCCAGCAGCCGCGGUAAUACGUAGGGAGCGAGCGUUGUCCGGAAUUACUGGGUGUAAAGGGAGCGUAGGCGGGAUCGCAAGUCAGAUGUGAAAACUAUGGGCUUAACCCAUAAACUGCAUUUGAAACUGUGGUUCUUGAGUGAAGUAGAGGUAAGCGGAAUUCCUAGUGUAGCGGUGAAAUGCGUAGAUAUUAGGAGGAACAUCAGUGGCGAAGGCGGCUUACUGGGCUUUAACUGACGCUGAGGCUCGAAAGCGUGGGGAGCAAACAGGAUUAGAUACCCUGGUAGUCCACGCCGUAAACGAUGAUUACUAGGUGUGGGGGGACUGACCCCUUCCGUGCCGCAGCAAACGCAAUAAGUAAUCCACCUGGGGAGUACGACCGCAAGGUUGAAACUCAAAGGAAUUGACGGGGGCCCGCACAAGCAGUGGAGUAUGUGGAUUAAUUCGAAGCAACGCGAAGAACCUUACCAGGUCUUGACAUCGUAUGCAUAGCUCAGAGAUGAGUGAAAUCUCUUCGGAGACAUAUAGACAGGUGGUGCAUGGUUGUCGUCAGCUCGUGUCGUGAGAUGUUGGGUUAGGUCCCGCAACGAGCGCAACCCUUACUGUUAGUUGCUACGCAAGAGCACUCUAGCAGGACUGCCGUUGACAAAACGGAGGAAGGUGGGGAUGACGUCAAAUCAUCAUGCCCCUUAUGACCUGGGCCUCACACGUACUACAAUGGCUGUCAACAGAGGGAAGCAAAGCCGCGAGGUGGAGCGAACCCCUAAAAGCAGUCUUAGUUCGGAUUGUAGGCUGCAACCCGCCUACAUGAAGUCGGAAUUGCUAGUAAUCGCAGAUCAGCAUGCUGCGGUGAAUACGUUCCCGGGCCUUGUACACACCGCCCGUCACGCCAUGGGAGUCGGUAACACCCGAAGCCUGUAGUCUAACCGCAAGGAGGACGCAGUCGAAGGUGGGAUUGAUGACUGGGGUGAAGUCGUAACAAGGUA